UUUUUAAUUAAACCCUUAAUCUUGAGUAGUAAUAGUUAUGAUCUUGAAACUUAAAGAAUUUGGCGGUAUUUUAGUCUAUUUAGAGGAAUCUGUUCCAUUAUCGAUAGUCCACGUUGAACCUUACUUAAAUUUAAUAGUUUGUAUAUCGCCGUAUAUUGAAGAUCUUUUUAGAGUAUUUUCUUGAAAAUUAAUAAAGUAGAAUUUCAGGUCAAGGUGCAGCUUAUGUUUAAGAGGAAAUGGAUUACAUUAUUAUGAAGGUUAAUGGAUUAAAUAUUGAAAUAUUUUUAUGAAAAUGGAUUUAAUAGUAAUAUUUUAUAGAUUAGAAAUAUGAUUUGGCUCUAAAAUGUGC
This 349-nucleotide ribosomal RNA is filed under the name Gynopeltis sp. 3 FL-2017. RNAcentral's name for it is "mitochondrial SSU rRNA". Lineage: Eukaryota; Metazoa; Arthropoda; Insecta; Blattodea; Blaberidae. The record is from RNAcentral.